Molecule: long non-coding RNA, 2078 nt
Filed under: Homo sapiens (human)
Lineage: Eukaryota; Metazoa; Chordata; Mammalia; Primates; Hominidae
Description: HSALNT0313194
Source: RNAcentral
GGCGCCCUGAAACCCGAUAUGUCAGGCAAGCUGGUGGGAUCCUGGGAUCCCUCAUGUAACGGCACUCAUUCUGACAGAAGCAGAGAUAAAACAGACUAAGUACACAGAGGAGUUUAAGGUUUCGUGAAUGUAAGUGCUGAGUACAGAAUGGUGCUCAAUAAAAGCUUGUUAAUUGAUGGACCACAGGUUUGUGACAAGACUUCUCAGAGUCUGAUUCUUUCAAGGUGGGAUAUAAGAGUAAGAUACCUUGACUAUGAAUAAUAGUUUCAAUAAGGAAGACAGAAUGAGUUCUGACACGAUGGUUGGGAGCUGUGACAGGCAGACGAAAAAUGGAGCCAAAUGGCAUGGAGGUGUGUCAUCACUGCUGGAUUUUACCUUGAUCUACAUUCAGUUAUCUACUUCUUUUCAAAAUGCUGGGCAUUCAUUCAAGAAACAGCAUAUAUGUUCUGACUUUGAAGUAAUGGAUGAACUGUCAUGUGCAGUAUAUGGAAAUAAGUUUUAUUACCUUCUUCCCACAUUAACUCAUCCAUCCAUUCAAUAGCCAUUUAUUGAGAAGCUCACUCUGUGUUAGGCACAGUGGUGUCAUGAUGUUGGAACAGUAACAAUAACUCAACCAACCAGGGCUUGUCUGAAUACAAUCCUACAGCAGCAGGAGCUGUGGAGAUAUAGAAGGCAAGGAAGACCAGGUUGUGAGGGAAGACGAAUUUACUCCCAGGAAUGUUGGGAUUGAGAGUAAUAUUCUCCAAUAAUGGUGGAAGACAGAACAAUAAAAGCCCACCAGCUCCUUCUGCAUGGUGGGAUAAGAGAAAAGCCAAGGGCAGAAGUGAGAAAAAUAACCAUCACCAAACUGAAAAGAAAACCUUUAUAAAAAAACUGGAUUGAUAAAUGACCUUUAGUAGUGGAAAGAUACCAUUCCAAUGAAGCAUGAAUUGAAAGGAUUUCUUCUGAAAGCUAAUUUACAUUUUUCUUUUUUUUUUUUUCAUUUUCAGUGUGUUUUAGCAGGUGUAUUGUUCUACAUGGUUAGUUUCUUUACCUCUUUGAGAAAAAUGGGUCAGCUUGACACAUCUGGAUGAAAGAAUCCGUUAGGUGAUUAUGAUUGAAGACAGAUUAAGCCUUGUUAUGAGGGGAAUAUUUGGGGGCUUACCCUGAGGUGAUAUUUGAUGAUUUAGCUGUGGGAGAAUUUCCCUCCCAAGAUCAGCGUGACUGACACUGAAAUUGCUACAGGGGAACCGGACCUUUCCAAGAGGUGACAAGGACAUUUACCUGGUACAACACAAUGGUUCUGGACUGGAAGUCUAGUCCCAUUGAUGAAGUUCCCAAAAGAUGUCCAGGUCCUAAUCCCUGGAAUCUGUGAAUAUGUCAUCUUACACAUCAAAAGAACUUUGAAAAUGUGAUUGAGGUUAAGGACCUUGGAAUGAGGAGAUUACCUUGGAUUAUCUGGUUGGGUCCAAGCUAAUCACAUGAGUCCUUAAAGGAGAAGAACCUUUUUUAGCUGGGUCAGAGAGAGAUGUGAUGAUGAAAACAGGCUCAGGGAGAUGCACUGUAAGAAGGGCUUGACCAGUUGUUUUUGACUUUGAAGAUGGAGGGAAGGGCCAGGAGCCAAGGAAGGUGGGUGGCUUUUGGAAGGUGGAAAAAGCAAGGGAACAUUCUCUCCAGAGCCUCCAGAAAGGAGCUCAGCCCUGUUGACAUCUUUGUUUUUAUUUUUUAUUUUUAGUAGCAUUGAGGUCUCACUAUGUUGCACAGGCUGGUCUUGAACUCUUGAGCUCAAGCACUCCUCCCGCCUUGGCUUCCCAAAGUGCUGGGAUUAUAGGCAUGUGCCACCACAUCUGGCUUCCUACUGACAUCUUAACUUUAGUGCAGUGAGACUCAUAUUUGAAUUUCUGACCUUAUAUUAUAGAACCAUAAGACAUUAUAGAAUUAUAUAGAAUUAUAGAACCAUAAGACAAUAACUUUGUGUUGUUUUAAGAUACUAAAUUUUUGGUAAUUUGUUAUGGCAGCACAAUAAAACCAAUAUAGCAUUAUAUUAUGCCAAUAUCAUCUCUUUGUUGACUAUUGCUAUUAUAGUUUGUUUUAUGGGU